UACGGAGGAUCCAAGCGUUAUCCGGAAUCAUUGGGUUUAAAGGGUCCGUAGGCGGCCUUAUAAGUCAGUGGUGAAAUCUCCCCGCUCAACGGGGAAACUGCCAUUGAUACUGUAGGGCUUGAAUUAUUGGGAAGUAACUAGAAUAUGUAGUGUAGCGGUGAAAUGCUUAGAUAUUACAUGGAAUACCGAUUGCGAAGGCAGGUUACUACCAAUUGAUUGACGCUGAUGGACGAAAGCGUGGGGAGCGAACAGG
Molecule: ribosomal RNA, 253 nt
Filed under: uncultured bacterium
Lineage: Bacteria
Description: partial 16S ribosomal RNA
Rfam family: Bacterial small subunit ribosomal RNA
Source: RNAcentral